RNAcentral lists this non-coding RNA (175 nucleotides) under Candidatus Microgenomatota. RNAcentral's name for it is "Microgenomates Roizmanbacteria GlcN6P sequence". It matches the Rfam family "glmS glucosamine-6-phosphate activated ribozyme aptamer". From Rfam's summary of the family: This entry contains a glucosamine-6-phosphate activated ribozyme that is found in the mRNA for GlmS. The record is from RNAcentral.
UAUAAACAAAAAGCGUGCGGCCCCGAGGACUCGGGGAAACGAGGAGAAGGUAAUUCGAAAAUCCCGGAAUUUACGGGAUUAAUCAGCGGGUACCUUCAAGAUGGAGUUAUCAUCUUAAAUGUUUUCCAUAAAAACUUAAGGCAACUUAAGCGACAAAAGGAAAACAAAUAACUAC